This 94-nucleotide microRNA precursor is filed under the name Olea europaea subsp. europaea. Lineage: Eukaryota; Viridiplantae; Streptophyta; Magnoliopsida; Lamiales; Oleaceae. The record is from RNAcentral.
CACCAUUUUGGUGCAAAAUGGUGCAAAAUGAAUAGUGUUGCACCAAAUAUGGUGCAACACUAUUCACUUUGCACCAUUUUGCACCAAAAUGGUG